CUAUUCCGUCCUCGCUUCGUCCUCCGGCCGCCGAGACGAAGAGAUUCACCUCAUCCUCUCACCAUGCAGCCAUGACUUCUUCCUCCUCUCCAUCCCUCUGCUCGACGACAAGCUGAGAUCCGGUCUUCUUCCCUGCUACAGUUGUACUCGACAGCUCAUCCGACGAGGAGGUUAAAGUGGGCUGGUCAUAUCUAGCGCCUGAAGAAGCAAGGCAAGUAUCCACUAGUCUGAAGGAUGUUGGAGACAAAUAUAACAUCAAUGUUGCUGGAAGAGAAUGCCCGUAAGAGAAAGUCGGAUGAUGUGGCAUGGGAGUAUGGGAGUCUAGCCGAUGUUUCCAACA
Molecule: long non-coding RNA, 340 nt
Organism: Triticum aestivum (bread wheat)
Lineage: Eukaryota; Viridiplantae; Streptophyta; Magnoliopsida; Poales; Poaceae
Exons: 3
Source: RefSeq, a predicted model, not a curated record